This is a long non-coding RNA of Cavia porcellus (domestic guinea pig), 3500 nucleotides long. RefSeq lists it as uncharacterized. The transcript has 3 exons. The record is from RefSeq and is a predicted model, not a curated record. Lineage: Eukaryota; Metazoa; Chordata; Mammalia; Rodentia; Caviidae.
CAUCCCCUCUGACACCUGGGAGCCCCAGUGCACCUGCAGAUCCCUGAGGUUGCUCACGUGGGUUUCGCCCGCCACGUCAGCACGCAUGCACACAGCAGCGUGAACCUCCCACGGGCCCCGCUACACAUGCAGUAGGAAGCGGGUAUCUUCAGGCUUCAGCCCAAAGCCUCCCGAAAUAGCGCCCCCGCGUGCACCUGCUGCGCGAGGCUCGCCUCAGCGGGGCUCAGCUCGCGCCUGCGCAGGGGAAUCCGCGAGAUCUUCAGUCCACACUGGGCCCAUCGGUGCGGGUAUUUGCAGUCGGGCUCAGGAAGGCCGGUGCCACAGCAAGGCGCUCGCCACCGAUCACGCCCUCUGGUCUUACUUGAGCCUCCGGACAUUCUUCCCCGAGAGAGGGCGGCUUCAGAGCCCGCUUCCGCGCCCUCCCCUGCAUGUGAUGCCCCCUGCCGGCUGCUCCAGUCUGCUCGGGGCGGAGGAGGAAGCUGGUUGCUAUACAGCAUCUGUGCCUUCCAUGCCGUGGGGCGCCUUUAGAACUCGACCCUAAAAACGAGCUUGGAUGGAAGCUUGAGGCUGGCAGACGCUGGGACAGAGUGGCUGGAGCACAGGUACAAAUCCUAGCCCAUUUCGCACUAGUCCAUCACGCCCCGCAACCUCUCUUGCCUUUUAAAAAAAGGAGUCAGGAGGGUCUGAGGCAGGCGUAGUAUGCCGCGAUGCGAUGCGCAGCCGCAGUGCAUCCUAUUCGUCCUGCAGGCGUAGUGGUGCAAGGUGGUAGUUGGCGCGUUUUUGCCUUCAGAAAGCUCCCAGCAUGACGGAUUGUGAGGGAGCCAAGGACCAGCUGAAUCCCUGCUGUUGUCAAGGUGCAUCCUGUGCGCAGAGCAAGGAGAAGCACGGAGAAGCGAGCUGGGCCUGGGAGAAGUAACAAGAAGCCGGUUCACCCUUCCUGUGAGCCAAAUGAGAUGCGGACAGGGAGACAAGAACACCACCAGCCCCCACCCCGUAAGCAACUGGCUGAUUUGGAGAACAGGCUGAGCUGACAGCAUCUGAGCAUUUGACAGACAGCAAGGAAAUUUAGAAGCCAUGAAGUAGUGAAGGUACGAUGGUGCAUAUCUAUAACCUGACCAGUCGUAGAGGCUACAGCAAGAGGAUAGCAUGCUCAAGGCCAACUUCAGCAAAACAGAGACUGGGUGAGAUGUUUCAAAUUUUUAAAAAUUAAAGUAAAGGGGCUGGGGAUUUAGCUCAGCGGCAUAAGUACCUGCCUUGCAAGCAGGCAGUCAUGAGUUCGACCCCUGGUUCCGAUAAAAACGAAAAAGACAAAAAAAAAUUAAAGUAAAAAGAGCCAAGGAUGCAGCUCAGUGAGGUGUUGAUUUCAGUCUGCAGUACCACACAUAGAAGAGGCCAUGAAUCUGUUACUAAAGUUUCAUUUCUAUUGCCAAAUAGCUAAGAUGUGACCUUGUGCACUGCAAACAGAAGAGAUCUACAUGCAAAUAUUAUUUAAUGUUGACAUUUACUGUAUUUAUAUAUUCUUUUUAUAACUAUACAUUAAACCAAUACAAAUCAUAUUAGUUUCAAGAGGAUAUAAUCAUUGCUUUGCUUGUGCUGCUGGGUUUGAACCCAGAGCCUCAUAAAUGUUAAGUGCCACAUCCCGUGCAAACAAUGCGGGCACUGACAGGACAGCGCAAGAUUAAGAGAAGACAAAACACACAAGAAAGCUGGGACUGGCCGACACGUGGCCCUCCAAUGGGAAGUAGUGAUGCAUACCAGCAUCCUCAUUUAUACACAGUAAAAAGGAAAGCAUGCGACAGGGUCGAAAGGGCAAGGUCCUGGUAACAACACAAAAAAGGGAACAUUUUCAGAUUAUCUGUGCUAUAAUUAACAGGAAGGGACAGCAAGGCUGGACACCUGGUGAUACGCAGCCAAGCUAGAGGUCAACUUGUUCACACGUGCGGGGAAUGCUUCUGGCAUUCCAUGUUCCUGGGACCAGCUUUGCUCUAGUCCCAGGGAGUUCACUGACCUCCACCUCAGCCACAGCUCAGCUGUUCCACACAGGUAAGUAGGUGCCCUAUCACAGAGCUACACUUCCAGUCCCCAGAAAUGGUAACGGAGUGUUCAGGACAGGAUGUGCUUCUCAGACUUCAAACAACUUCCCUAAAUACAUAGUGUUCCUCAGAAUUAAAAUCCUUUCCUUUAUUUCCUGUCACCUUCAUCUCUUAUAAUCCUUCCUUGUUUCUGUUAAACCCAGCGGAGGGUAGGGGACUUCUUUUCUGGCCGUCACUAAGUGGUAUUCAUCAACUCUGUCAUCAUUAAAAUUACACUUGCCUGAAGCUAGAGGACACCGCUUGCAAGAUCAAGUCCAGGUCUGAAGACUCCCUGAAGGAGCAGAAGAGGAAAACCUGCUCCAGCACUUUUACACCAAGACAUGGAAUGCUGCUCUUAACAACGACAUUCAAUAAACUCACAAUAAGUAGACUGUUAACAAAAAUCAAUGCAACUUUGAAAGCUGGUUUGGAUUCUUGGAUAAUCAACUGAUGUCAUCAGCUUUCAAAGAAGAGUAGUGUCAGGGCUGAAAAUGCUUGCUGACUGACAUUUCUGCCUCAAGUUCCAUCCUGAGUCAACAAGCCCAAAUGAGGACUUGCACCUUCUCGCCACACCUGUGUGGUUCCCAUCAAUCCUGGUUCCCUUCUGUCCCCUCGACUGACCAGCUGCUGACCUCAGCUCAGCUCCUUGGUGCAGUUCACUUCUGGCCUUAUCACUCUGGCCUCUUGGCUCCACUUUGUAGCCUCCCAGAGAUCCUCUUCCCCAACACAACCUCAAAUCCACCCUGUUCCUGAAGCUCAGAGGGAUCUUCCACCACCUGGCUCGAGCCACACCUAUGCCUCUAACCAGGUAGGUAACUUCUCAGCACUCUAGGCCUGCUUCCUCAUCUAUAAAAGGGUAAGAAUAGGCUAAGGAUGUACCUCAGGGCCAGAGUCCUUGCUUAGCACGGACAGAGCCCAGGGUUGAGCCUCAGUACUGGGUAUGUGUGAGUGUGUGUGUGUGUGUGUCCAUGAUCUCUAAAGUCCCAUUUUACUCUAGGAACCAAACUUCUAUGAGAGCAAAAGCAAAAGAAAUUGUUAUGCCUUCUUUUCAACAACAGAUGUCACUGCAGCACUGACCAGUGUCUUGGAUCCUGUCAGCUUUCCUCAAGUCUGUGAUACUCAGAACAGAAAGUACAAACCCCUUAGCUUCCAGUAAUCUGGAACAAAUAGAGUGGUAAACCCUGCUCUAUAUACGAUUUUAAACUGUCCCUUCACUUAGACGCAUCCAGUCAUUCAACAAACACUGAGCACCUAUUUGUAAUAAAUACAGAAGGUCUCUUUGCCUCCUCAGCUCCUCCCUUCUGCGUUUCCUGGCUACUGUGUUUCCUCCGCCAUACCCUUCUGCCAUGAUUUUGUGCUUUGGAGCCAGCCAACCGUGGACUGGAUGCAGUGGAAACUGUGAGCCAAAUAAACCUCUCCUCCUUUAAA